GACGUGUCUUGCUUCACGAAAGAGUAGCUGUCAACAGAUCAAAGUACGGAGAAGAAAAAACAGCUGUGAAAGUUGGGAAAAUGGACAUCAGAAGUGAGAAUUCCCAAAUUCCAAAACUCAAAUUUGGAACACAGAGCAAGCAGCUCGGGCUUAUGAGUUUUGCUUUGUAUUGCUUGAGAUGCCCCAAUGCCAUCUUCAAUUUCCUCAAAUCUACAUUUGAAAUUUUGCCGGUAUCCUCACAUUCGCGGCAAGAGAGACAUGCAGCCGCAGCCAAUUUUGCCCUGUAGAAAUACCCACAGGAACGUCAUCUAAAUAAGGGGGAAGAGGAAGAGAUGUUAGGGUACGUUUAAGAAAUUGAAUCUCCAUUCGCCCGAGAAAUUCUGACUGAAUGAAAUGGGUUUUUGCCAGCACGUUGUAAAUGGAAUUUGCUCAGACUCGGAUGUUCUAGAAUUGGCAAAUUCGCCCUUUCCAACCUCUGUACUGCAACAUGGGGUAAUCAUAUUAUAUCAAGUUGAGAGAUAUUUAGGCAUCUGUAAGAUUGAGGAUCAUCCUUUGAGAGGACAUAGAGCUACCUGGAAGGCUUUUGUGAGAGAGUACCUCAUGCCUACCAUUAAUCCAAGGUGGGAGGAUUAACAAAAUCCAAAAAAAUAGUAAUACCCCACCCAAACAGAUGGACACAGAGUUAAAAACACACAACCUUAUAAUCAGGAUAAAACUUAUAAAAAAGGGAAAACCAGCAGAAAGUGAUUAAUGUGGCUGGAGACAACACUGAACGGGCAGAUAAAGCUAUGUAUCAGGUAAGAUUUGUCAGACUAAUAUUUUUUAGGUGUUAGUCGUACUUUGAAUUGCUGUGCUCAUAUGGCGAUCUUGAGGUAAGUCACUUGCCAUGGUUUCAAUAGGUUUUAUUUUUUGGAAUCUGUACAUAGUGGGAUCAUUUUUUUUUUUGUUUUACUCUCUUUCCAGCAUCUAUCUUACUACAAACACAAGUAGAAAAUAUCGUCAAAAUAUUUGAGUCAUGUCAUAAUGCCAAUAAUCCCAAUAAAACCGACUUCAAGCUUUCAUCUAUAACUCUUAUUAGCAAGUAACUCAGACAAAAACUGGUAACCUUGGCUAUGCUUUCCUUACCUUCUGUUUGGAACUUGCUGAGGACUUCCAUAAUACAGAGAGAACCGUUAGACUUCAAGGGCAUGGUAGUGUAAGAUGGUCUCCCUCCACUUUCUCAAUAGCUGUGAUAAGUGGUAGUGUAAAAUGGCCCCCCUGCACUUUCUCCAUAGCUGUGAUAGGUGAUAGUUGAACGAGUCAUCUGAGAAAAAGCCUGCAAAUUACAGAAGCUACUGAAAUCCGACAGUGCAUGGGGACUUAAUGAGGUACCCAUGAGCCCAGCUUCUACUGCUGAGUGGGUUGAGAGGGAGAAUACAAGCCAGCUAUUAUUAUUUCUCUUGUUCAUGGAUUUCACUACCAACCAAGAGGAUCUGAUUAAAUAAAUCAAUUACAUGUUUUCUAGAAAAUUAGUUGGAAAGCUAAAAACUGGAAAACAAAACUAUCCCUAGCUAUAAGACUGAUGACCCGAGGUCAAAAUUCUAAUGUGACCCUAAAGAACAAUUACAAAUGAAUCAAAAUCAAUCUGUUAGAUGACCAGAGCCCAACUCAAAACGAAAACCCCAAUCUGAAAAAUAUUGUCACAGAUAAAUUGACCCAAGGAAUUGCUAAUAAAAUGAUAAGCACAAAAUCAAGAAUUGUCAUGUUGAAAGAGGAAAAUAUUUGUUAACAAAAAGCCUGUCAAACAUUAUUAGAAUCUCCACUUUUUUCUAUUUCACAGCUCCACAACAUCAAUAAAAUGAAAAAUCUUGUUUUUCAUGGAAUUCACCAAUCCAUUUUGUAUGGACCCAAUUUUAUCAAAUAAGAAAAUAAUUUCUAAAUUCUGGCAGUGAGUUCAGUAACCAUGCCA
Long non-coding RNA from Cryptomeria japonica (Japanese cedar), 1948 nucleotides. RefSeq lists it as uncharacterized. Lineage: Eukaryota; Viridiplantae; Streptophyta; Pinopsida; Cupressales; Cupressaceae. The transcript has 3 exons. The record is from RefSeq and is a predicted model, not a curated record.